AAUAAAGGAUAUUUUUAUGGUGCAGUUUUACUGCUUAAAAGGGAAGCUAGUGAGAAUCCAGCACGGUCCCGCCACUGUAUAUAGGGAGUACUAUAUCAUGCAGCCACUGUUUUUUAUAAAAUGGGAAGGUGAUAAUAGUAUGUUGAUCUUAAGUCAGGAUACCUGCCAUAUUAAUACACGCUAA
Molecule: non-coding RNA, 184 nt
Filed under: Maledivibacter halophilus
Lineage: Bacteria; Bacillati; Bacillota; Clostridia; Peptostreptococcales; Caminicellaceae
Source: RNAcentral